AUGUCUGGAAGCACGGGAGAACGUUCUUUUGCUGAUAUUAUUACCAGUAUUCGAUACUGGGUUAUUCAUAGCAUUACUAUACCUUCCCUAUUCAUUGGUUUGUUAUUUUUCAGUACAUGUUUAGCUUAUGACGUGUUUGGAAGUCCUAGGCCAAACGAGUAUUUCACGGAAAGCCGACAAGGAAUUCCAUUAAUAACCGACCGUUUUGAUUCUUUAGAACAACUCGAUGAAUUUAGUAGAUCCUUUUAG
Molecule: ribosomal RNA, 249 nt
Filed under: Triticum aestivum (bread wheat)
Lineage: Eukaryota; Viridiplantae; Streptophyta; Magnoliopsida; Poales; Poaceae
Description: partial small subunit ribosomal RNA
Source: RNAcentral